AUGCUAAAGUUAUUGGGAUCUCAAGCAUUGCAAGAACACUCGCCCAGGAAGCUAUCUUCAUCCUUUAAUGUGGAUGUUGUAUUCACAUUUAAACUUCCCACAAUAGUGGUGGUGUGCACUGAUAUAACAUGUAAGUUCUCUUUCCUGUCUUUUUUUUUGUAUGUUAGUUUGGCUGCUAAACUGAUUUGCAGCUCAGGCAUAUAUAGCCUACUGCCUCAGGAAGCUCAAGAGAUACAUAUCACAGGUUAUCUUAGCAAGCUCUUCAUAAGAAAACUUCCCUGUUCAUAUUCAGAUUUCUUAAAGCUUUUUAAUUAUUUUUAA
Molecule: ribosomal RNA, 321 nt
Filed under: Triticum aestivum (bread wheat)
Lineage: Eukaryota; Viridiplantae; Streptophyta; Magnoliopsida; Poales; Poaceae
Description: partial small subunit ribosomal RNA
Source: RNAcentral